AAGUCGUAACAAGGUUUCCGUAGGUGAACCUGCGGAAGGAUCAUUAGCGAAGCUCGUGAGUGUUGAUGCUGCCCGGCGACGGGACGUGCUCGCACUCGCUUCUCUAUCCACCCCACUGUGAACCAAGCGUGCGAGCCGAAGAGAGAUCGGAAGCUCGCAUGCAAACAUAUAUAACAUACCCCGAAUAGUAACAGAAUGUACCUUGCGUUAACUCGCACAAAUACAACUUUCAACAACGGAUCUCUUGGCUCUC
RNAcentral lists this unclassified non-coding RNA (253 nucleotides) under air metagenome. RNAcentral describes it as "partial contains small subunit ribosomal RNA, internal transcribed spacer 1, and 5.8S ribosomal RNA". The stretch from base 1 to 46 matches the Rfam family "Eukaryotic small subunit ribosomal RNA", at positions 1786 to 1831 of the family's 1831-position model. The record is from RNAcentral.